UCCUAGGGGCGCAGCAGUGGGGAAUAUUGCACAAUGGGGGAAACCCUGAUGCAGCGACGCCGCGUGAGUGAAGAAGUAUCUCGGUACGUAAAGCUCUAUCAGCAGGAAAGAAACUGACGGUACCUGACUAAGAAGCCCCGGCUAACUACGUGCCAGCAGCCGCGGUAAUACGUAGGGGGCAAGCGUUAUCCGGAUUUACUGGGUGUAAAGGGAGCGUAGACGGCGCUGCAAGUCCGGAGUGAAA
RNAcentral lists this ribosomal RNA (244 nucleotides) under uncultured bacterium. RNAcentral's name for it is "partial 16S ribosomal RNA". It matches the Rfam family "Bacterial small subunit ribosomal RNA", at positions 337 to 599 of the family's 1533-position model. The record is from RNAcentral.